Molecule: ribosomal RNA, 377 nt
Filed under: uncultured bacterium
Lineage: Bacteria
Description: bacterial SSU rRNA
Rfam family: Bacterial small subunit ribosomal RNA
Source: RNAcentral
GACGAACCGUGCGAACGUUAUUCGGAAUCAUUGGGCUUAAAGGGCGCGUAGGCGGGUCGACACGUCGGAACUGAAAUCCCCCGGCUCAACCGGGGAACGGGAUUCGAUACGGCUGGCCUCGAGGUGAGAAGGGGGACCUGGAACGUCCGGUGGAGCGGUGAAAUGCGUUGAGAUCGGACGGAACGCCGAUGGCGAAAGCAAGGUCCUGGACUCAUAACUGACGCUGAGACGCGAAAGCCAGGGGAGCGAACGGGAUUAGAUACCCCGGUAGUCCUGGCCGUAAACGAUGGGCACUGGGUAGGGGGCUCGCCGAUGGGCUCCCUGCCGAAGGGAAACCGUGAAGUGCCCCGCCUGGGGAGUAUGGUCGCAAGGCUGAA